AAAGAAGCGCAAGAAGGACCUACUUUUGGCCAGUUUUCUCGCCCUCGCCUUGGAUCUCAUCUUGUCGGCUUGUAGAUUCCUCGCGUCCUCCUUGAGCUCAGAAGCAGAAGCAGCGCUAUCUUCAUCUCACGAGCAUUAUCACUUAUCUCUUUCCCUCCUCCUCCUCUCGCUCCGCAACAUCUCGGAUCUCCCCCCACCUCCCCUUCUUGAGCACUUGAGGAGGAAUAAGUGCUAUUUUCCAGGGACCUGCGGAAUCCGGCACGACGCUGGACAUUGGAUCCUGGAUGGGGUCAAGGUCGCAGCCCUCAUACGCAAGGUGAUCGCGAACAUUUCAUACACCCGAGCAAUAAGCGACGAUUUUAACGCGUGAAAACCUAUUGUUCAAAAAAAAAAAAAAAAACAUGUGCAAUUGUGUGAAGCGUAUUCCUUUACUAAAUAAAUAAUUAUUAAUAAUACUAUUAUUAUAUAAUUAUUAUCCAGGUCGGUCACACCUAGAGCAUAAAAUUAAAUGGAUGUUCUCCUUGCCAUAUCACUUACUUUUAACUGUUAUUGCCUAUUUUAUUGUAAUAUAUAUAUAUAUAUAUAUAUGUACAUGAUGUGAGAACACUGGCGAGUGCCUUAUAUUUCUAUAUACUAAACUAUAAACAUUAUUAAUUUAGGUGAGCUCUAUAAAUAGGUAAAAGGUGUGUUCAGUUUCAGUGUUGCUAUUGAGAGGCACCAGACGGCCAGGAGCUCCCGCGUGCGUGCAUGUGUGUGAGAGAGCUAGUGUGUGUGUGUGUGUGUGUUUAAGGAGAAAAGAGUAGAAAUAGGCUACUGUAUGUAUGAGUGCAUGCGUGGGACCCGCAACGAGAAGGUAUGCAUAUAAACGCUCUUGAAACAAUGCACUUUGGCUCUUGUUUUGGGUCUUUGGUCCAGAUUAGGUUUUGCUCAUUGGUAUUGGUAUAUACGAUUUCGUGGCAGAUUAUGUGCAGGUAAAGUAAGCAUGGAAAGGCAAGGCAACCGGUUCGCUCAUGUAAGUAUGAUUCUGCUGAAUUAUUUGUUAGGUAUACGUGUAACAAAGCGUAUUAUAGACUACUCUGUACAUCUAAACUGCAGUCAUGUUUGCAUGUGCACAAUCAUCGCAUUUUAACGGGCUGCAGGCGUGCUGUCAGAAUCAAGCCUCAGCAGUGCUCAACAUCUGCAUUAUUUUCUGCAUUUGGCAUGUAAUAUCGGUCCUGUAGGACACAUCAAAAGACAGCGAGUUAAUAUGAUGCGGAAAGAUACUGUCAGAAAUUAGAAAGAUAGCGUUUCUUUGUUAACACAACUAGUAAAUAUGCAUUUGCAUUGUUUUAAUUUUUUAUUAUUAUUAAAAACUAAAUAAUACAUGCUGGUGUAAUUGCAUAUUAUUAUUAUUAUUAUUUCUCUAAUUUUUUGGAAUUCACAGUACGAGUUUAAGAUGAAGGAUAUUAACAGUUGUUAUUUAUAAUUUCACUUUGUAAUCAGAAGACCAUUCUGCAGUAAAACGGAUCUCAUUUUGUCACCAGAUCCCAUGGGAGCACAUGGGCUCACGCAGGUGUCUUUCAAGAUAUUUAAAGCAGCCAUUAACAGUAAUGAAUAUCCACUAACUUUGAGGGCUGUCAGUCAGUCUUUUUUCGUUGAUAUCAUUCCCGGCCGAUGGGCAGUUUUAUGUUAGCUACUCACUUCUGCUUUUAUGAAGAUCAGAUUGAAGAAAACCGAGCUGUUUGUGUAUUAAAAACAAUAACUAUGAUUAUAAACUCGUGCACAUAAACAUAUUGUGAAAUAUGUCUAAAACCAAUCUUAGGAGGAUAUUUCAUUUUUCUCAAAUAAAUGUAGCAGGCCGUAUAAAGCACGUAACCACAGGUUUAUGUGCGUAAUUAUCUUCUCGGAGAGUGAGAGGGUGGAUCGCCGCCUUUUGAUUUUGUGCAAACAAACCCCAGAGCUUAUUUAAUUCAUAAAUGAAAUAAUUCGCACUUUAUUCGGCGCAUCUGAUUUUAGCUAAUAAAAGAGGUUAAGAUGGAUUAACAGGGCAAAAUGCUUUAAACAUUUAAAUGUACAGAUACGCCGUUACCCAAGGAAGAAGUGAUCUUGAUACUAUGCCUCCCACUGACAAAUGACAUUUAUUGGUUUAUUGAAUGACUCCAUAUAACAUGUUUAAUCGGUAAAACCUUCUCUUGUCAAGACACAUCUACUAGAUAUAAACAUAUAAGGUCACUAAACUGAAUGCGUAAAAUAGAUACAAACAUUCUGAGUUUAUUUCACUGAGACAAUUAAGACAGCGAAAGCUUUUUAUUAGUUACACUUAAAUAAUAUUUAAACACUAAAUUUUUUUGGGUAGGCCUAUAGCAUAUUAAAACGGUGACAUUGUUUAAUGAAUAUAUGUUUAUAAAAAUUUUUUUUGCCCAAAACAACUGUUUUUUCUAUAUUAUUAUUAUUAUUAUUAUUUAGUGCGACUUUAUGCACAGAUCUAUUGUAUAAAAAAUGUGCUACUUUUUGUUUUUUAGUGAUAGCUUGCCAUUUCUCCAUUCCUCAUAAAGCAAUUCAAAUGAAAAUCUCUCUCACGCACUGGGCUGUUCUUUUUUCUUUUCUUUUUUUUUCUUUUUUUCAUACGGAGCAACACCUUUGUAAAGGCAUUUAACUGUAAUUACACUUGUAAAGAAAAGUGUUGCUCCUCAUCACUAGCUCAUUGGGGAAUAGUUUUCUGCGUCAUUUAAACGUCUGCCUUUUUACGAGCUCCUGGAAACGUGAUGGCUAUGUAACCACGCAUUUGGACUAUUUUCUUUCCAGAUUGUUGCCAUUUUCCUGUGGUUUAGCACAGGAAGGGAGGGAUGCUGGCCCGGAAGAGAGGUGUUCUGCAAACCAGGCCUCAGUAACAUCCACCUUGAGAACUGCUGUCAGAGAGGAGUUUUUGUCCUCUCGAUUAAUAAAGGGCAGAAUUUAAGAGGUUUGUCAAUUGAGUAUCAAAUCAAUCACUAGCCUAAAUAAAUCCAUGUGAUUUUAAACGUAUUAACCCAUGAUAUGUUUGAAUAUGUCUACAGCUGUAAGUGGAAUUUUAUUAAACUUACUAAGUCAAAUAAAAUGUAUUCAGGCA
Cyprinus carpio (common carp) is the source of this 3088-nucleotide long non-coding RNA. RefSeq lists it as uncharacterized. The record is from RefSeq and is a predicted model, not a curated record. The transcript is spliced from 2 exons. Lineage: Eukaryota; Metazoa; Chordata; Actinopteri; Cypriniformes; Cyprinidae.